Choiromyces venosus 120613-1 is the source of this 74-nucleotide non-coding RNA. The record is from the annotation of a GenBank genome assembly. NCBI's taxonomy places the organism in Eukaryota, Fungi, Ascomycota, Pezizomycetes, Pezizales, Tuberaceae.
GGUAAGAUGGUGUGAUUGGUAAUCACAUCAGUCUAACACACUGGUGGUCCCCUGUUCGAGCCCGGGUGAAAUUU